Molecule: long non-coding RNA, 1306 nt
Filed under: Equus caballus (horse)
Lineage: Eukaryota; Metazoa; Chordata; Mammalia; Perissodactyla; Equidae
Description: lncRNA (ENSECAG00000052313.1)
Source: RNAcentral
UUUUAUUUCCCUUCUUUGGGCUUCCGUAAGUUCUCCUUCUCAGAGAGAACCAGUGUCUUGCAGAUCUGUAAGCACCAAUCCACUGUUGCACUGGAGCCCUGUUGGUAUGUUGGUGAGACAUGUGGGAGAGGAGUAAUCUCUAAUCUUAUGAUUAAGUCUCAAGUCUCUUAGUGGGCUUGAGUCUCUGGCACGUGACCAUCACAUAUGGUAGCUUUCCCAUCCGUCUUAGGUGAGAUGGGAAGGCUAGAAGGGGCUGGAGUGAGAGGAAUGCCCUUCCCCACAGCUUUAGGACAAAGCUCUGGUAAAGUCUUUCCCCUCGGGAGUAGAUCUCUGUUAUUUAGAAAGCCCUUGGCAUAUUUCACAAGCAUUACUCUUCCCCUCCACCUGCCAGACCAUGAGGGAAUGUUCCUCUGAUCUUCACCAUAAGAAACCAGUGGGUUUCCUAGAGGUAAUGCUCACUGAAGCAGCGCUUCCUCUAAGACUGGUUCCCACUGCUGAUCCCACCAGUUUAUGGCUCCAGCACUUCUGCUCCAGUCUGCUGGGAAAGACAUCCAUCACAUAAGCCUGUAAGUUAAAAAUGGAACUGUGACCUUGAGCUCUAAGAGCAUCUGACAGGCAGAUCGGACCUCAGGGGGUCAGAGAAGGCUGGGCUGCUCUGUGGAGGCGAUGAUGGAGGGGAGAUGUGAAGACAAGGAGGUGACUGGGCGUGGAGGGUAGGAUGGAGAUGUCAUCACCACCCUCCCUGAACCAGACCAAGCCUCACCACAAGAGCUACACCUAUGACCUUUGCCUUAUUUUUAAUGCUAAGAUCUCUCCAGGAGGAGCUUAGGCCUUAUCACUGUAACCCGCAGUGUGUGUGGAAGAAUGUCUUCUAACUGAGCCUGCGCAAGCGAAUACCCAUCUCUCCCUUUUGAAUAUUCAUUCCCCAUCCGAAAUAAAUGUCCCUGCUUCCCUUUCUUCGGGGACGCCGGAACUCUGGAAAUGAUUCCUCGUGGUCUCCUAUUUGCCACAAAUAUACUUUACUGUGAGACAACUCCUUCUGGUGGAGAGUCUGAUUUAACUCACCAGGAAGGAACCCACUUCGGUUUCGGUAACAAUACGAAGCCAGCUCUGGGCUCUGUACCAACUUCCUUGUUCCCUAUUCACUCUCUGUUUUUCUCUUCCUUGUUCCUUCUUCUUUAUCCCAUAAAAGCUUCCUGGCUUCCAGCCAUUUUGCAGUUCUCUGGACCCUUAGGAAUAGAGACUACUCACUUCAUGAGCUUUAAUGCUUUGUGUUAAAUAAAGUUUGUUUGUAUCGCCUAAAUUG